This is an RNA transcript of Caretta caretta (loggerhead turtle), 2460 nucleotides long. It is a transcript of the gene named lipoic acid synthetase, with no coding region annotated. NCBI's taxonomy places the organism in Eukaryota, Metazoa, Chordata, Testudines, Cheloniidae. The record is from RefSeq and is a predicted model, not a curated record.
CCGAGCAAGCGGGGAAUGGGGCCAGGCAGCUCAGCUGAGUACCGAUCUGACCGCUCGGGACUCGUCCUCGGGGCUCGGUGCGGGACAGAGCAGCGGAGGGUGGCUAUGGCGCUGCUUCAGCGCGGCCGCUGCUGUCGAGUAGCCGCCACGACAAGCCUGAGCCGGCUGGUGCUGGGGUCCCAGGGGCGGGUGUGUGGAAGCAAUGUGUGGAGCCAGUACAGAGCAUCAAGUUCUUUGCCAGAUGAAAAGAAGGAGUUUCUGCAAAAUGGACCUGAUUUUCAAGAUUUUGUAUCUGGGGAUUUUUCUGAUAAGAGCAUGUGGGCUGAGUAUAAAGGCAAUUUAAAACGCCAGAAGGGAGAAAGGCUGCGACUUCCUCCAUGGCUAAAAACUGAGAUUCCCAUAGGAAAGAACUAUAAUAAACUGAAGAGUACACUGCGAAGUUUAAAGCUUCACACUGUGUGUGAGGAAGCGCGUUGUCCCAACAUUGGAGAGUGUUGGGGAGGGGGUGAGUAUGCUACUGCUACAGCAACUAUCAUGUUGAUGGGUGACACAUGUACAAGAGGUUGCAGAUUUUGUUCCGUAAAGACAGCAAAAAAUCCACCUCCAUUGGAUCUUAAUGAACCCCACAAUACAGCAAAAGCUAUAGCUGAAUGGGGCUUGGAUUAUGUUGUAUUGACAUCUGUAGACCGAGAUGAUAUUCUAGAUGGUGGAGCAGAACACUUUGCAAAAACUGUAUCACAUUUGAAGGAAAGGAAUUCAAAAAUUCUAGUAGAAUGUUUAACCCCUGAUUUUCGAGGGGACCUUAAAGCUGUGGCGAAAGUUGCCUUGUCAGGACUAGACGUAUACGCCCAUAAUGUGGAAACUGUUCCAGAGUUACAGAGGAAAGUACGUGAUCCUCGGGCCAAUUUUAAGCAAUCCUUACAAGUUUUGAAGCAUGCUAAGAAGGUCCAACCUGAUGUAAUUUCUAAAACCUCCAUUAUGCUGGGAUUAGGCGAGACAGAUGAACAAGUAUAUUCAACAAUGAAAUUAUUACGUGAGGCAGAUGUGGACUGUUUGACCUUAGGACAAUACAUGCAACCAACAAAACGUCAUCUAAAGGUUGAGGAAUAUGUUACUCCUGACAAGUUUAAACACUGGGAAAAAGUGGGAAAUGAGCUUGGAUUUCAUUACACAGCUAGUGGUCCUCUAGUGCGCUCCUCUUACAAAGCAGGUGAAUUUUUCUUGAGGAAUUUAGUAGAGAAAAGGAAGACAAAGGUCAUCUGAAGGUGGAAGUGGACCCACUUUAAGUCACCUACAGCUUUAAAGAUUCACUUUUUCAGACUGUCCAGUUUGGCCAAUGUACAUGGCAGAAGGGCAUUACUGGCACAUGAUGGCAUACAUCACAUUAGUAGAUGUGCAGGGCUUGGCUGUAAACAAUGGAUCGUGUGAUGUGUCCUGGUGGGAAGCUGGAGGCAUCUAGGAAGUGAAUCUCUUGUGUGGCGUGGUCCAGGCUGAAAUUGAUGGUGGGGUGGAAAUUGUUGAAAUCCAGGUGGAAUUCUUCAAGGGCAACUCUCCACCACCACAUUCUACAGGCCACUAUCCUCUGAUCCCACUGAGGAGUACCAAAAGAAACUACACCAUCUGCUCAAGAAACUCCCUGCUAUAGCACAGGAACAAAUCUAUACAGACACACCCCCAGAGCUCUGACCAGGGCUAUUCUAUCUGCUACCUAAGAUCCAUAAACCUGGAAACCCUGGGCACCCCAUCAUCUCAGGUAUUGGGACUCUUACAGCAGGAUUAUCUGGCUAUUUGGACUCUCUCCUCACACCCUACGCUACCAGCACUCCUAGCUAUCUUCGAGACACCACUGACUUCCUGAGGAAACUACAAUGCAUUGGUGAUCUUCCUGAAAACACCAUCUUGGCCACCAUGGAUGUAGAAGCUCUUCACACCAAUGUUCCAUGAGGAUGGACUACAAGCUGUCAAGAACAGUAUGAUGAGGCCACAGACCACUUGGUGGCUGAGCUUUGUGCCUUUGUCCUCAUCCACAACCAUUUCAGAUUUGGGGACAACUUAUACCUUCAAGCCAGUGGCACUGCUAUGCAUACCUGCAUGGCCCCACAGUAUGCCAACAUUUUUAUGGCUGACUUAGAAUAAUGCUUCCUCAGCUCUUGUCCCCUAGUGCCCCUCCUCUAGUUGCACUACACUGAUGACAUCUUCAUCAUCUGGACCCACAGGAAGGAGGCCCUUGAGUCGCAAGAUGAGAUCCCAGUUAAGCUGAUACACCCUGGAAAUGACAUUGGACGUUGGACUAUAACCUAUGAACUAAAUUCAAAAGGAACUCUUUGCAACUAUAAAGUACACUAUCUCUGCUAUGUAUCUGAACCUCAAGAAUUAAACUCCUGUCUGUAUGUAUAUUGAUCUUUUAACCAUACUCUCUUCCUUUUCUUUUUAAAUAAAUUUUAGUUUGGUUAAUAAGAA